CUAAAGUUGGGUAAUCUGCUAACAUCUGGAUCCCUGUGGCUCAUCUUUUGUCCUGGGUAUCACCACUACUGUGUUCCUAUGAUGGGAGCGGUGGAGAGGAGAGGUGCUGUGCGGGCCACCUUGGGAAUGGGAAGAGCAUUUGAGAUGAGCUGAGUAGUAGGGAGAAGGAGCAUGAGACAGACUUCUCACAAGCACAACAGUAAUUCUCUGGGACUUAGUUGUCCCAGAUGGCAAAGAGGAACCUGGUGACUGUAGGAUCAUCCCACAUAGCUGAUGCUGUUGGAGUUUUUUCUUUUUCUGCUGAGGAUGACC
Molecule: long non-coding RNA, 312 nt
Organism: Cuculus canorus (common cuckoo)
Lineage: Eukaryota; Metazoa; Chordata; Aves; Cuculiformes; Cuculidae
Exons: 3
Source: RefSeq, a predicted model, not a curated record